Dendronephthya gigantea is the source of this 1135-nucleotide long non-coding RNA. RefSeq lists it as uncharacterized. NCBI's taxonomy places the organism in Eukaryota, Metazoa, Cnidaria, Anthozoa, Malacalcyonacea, Nephtheidae. The record is from RefSeq and is a predicted model, not a curated record. The transcript has 6 exons.
GCGCAAUAGUCAUGUAAAAAUAUCAAUUUGUUACCAUUUUAUUCCUAUCAAAACAGUCGUAAUCACGCAGGAGACGAUUUGAAUUGACUACCUUUAAUAGUUUCGCUUGAUAAUAAUUCAUGCUCACUUUGAUCAUCAAAACAGUCGAAACGGAAACCAGGCCUAUGAAAGUGAAUGAGGCGGGCUACUUUUGUCACCAGCACCGUCGUUACUACGCAACGAAGUUAUUGAAAUUGUAAACUUGGUUAUCAUUCUUAGCUUACCGUCUCACCGUGGUCAUCAGAACGCAACUGUGAAAUAGUUAUGUCUGCUUCACGACGCAAAACACAAAUAUUUACAUUCGGAGAAUGGAGCAAGUGUCAGGUUCAGUUUAGGAAUGGAAGAUUGGUGGAAAUCGUUGUGCCAUGCUGAACAGCCGUAUUCUUUCCUGAGCCAGCUGGCUCGGCAUCAGACGAUGACGAACUACAGUCUUUCGAGAGCCUGUCAUAACCUUUCCCGUAACUGGAGUUUUCUACCGAGUAUCCAACGAAAUCUUCACAGGAGCCUUUAUUUUCAACAUGGUUUCGGCUGUUACUGUUAACGGUUGAUAUUCUGGCUAAAUCCGUAAACUCUGUCGCAGCAGCCAUUGUGCGAGAACACGGUAACAGCAGUCUCGAGAACAAGCAUUGAUAGAACGAUCAAAAAUAACCAAUACAUUGAAUCCUGCUUAACUUGUGUCACCCACCAUAUGAGAAAACACGCGUGAACACAAAACACAAAACGACUUAGAAAGGCAGCAAGCGGGACCUGUUAAUACCGAUUCACAUUAGUGACGUUCAUGCACAAUGUUUUGACUGAAAAUUUUUUUCCCAUUUCUUGCUGACAACGAGAGCUGGAACUUCAAAGAAAACAUCAAAUUUGGAUUGUCCAGAUGCUGAAAAAGCUUCUUGCUUGUACUAUUAAUUGACAGGAAAAUUUCUGACAACCUCAGCCAAGGGAGAACCUUCCUUUUCCUGCAGAAAUAUAAAGCCAAUAAGGAUGAAAUUUACAAAGACUGAAUAUGCAGCUAUCAUGAAAACAUCAACUGGUAGACAUGACGCAAGGGGAUCUCACUAACCUGGCAGUAGGCCGACCAAACAAACUCAUCAUAAUUUUC